CUAAUCUGUCAGUCUUUUAAGGAAGCAAGAUGCAUUAGGGAAAUACUUCCUUUCAGUAAAGUGCUCUCGUGGUGGAGGCAGCUUGGAGCCCCAUCUGGAGGAGCUCCAUCCUGAGUCAGAGCUCCCUGAAGCUCAGAAUGUGACUGAUUAGUAAUGCCUGCCAGGGGCCUGGACAUGGCAAGCAGGGGUCUCUGAGGAUAUUGAGGGCAGGAAGCCUACAAGCUACCUAAUUCUUCCUCAUCUUUCACUGUCUUCCUGCCAACCCCCAGUGCCAAGCAUACUGCAUGCCAGAGGGAAACAUGACCAGAUGAUGAAGAAAAAUGACUCAGGACCUGCCUACACCUCCCGUGAAAUGUUCCACUUCUUGAGCAUUUUAUUCAACCAGCAUCAGCCGGGUGCAGUGCAUUAACACUAUGUCAUUAAGGAUUCCCAAAUAAGAUCAUCUUGGACUAUCCAGGUGGGGCCUGCAUCCAUGAACACCUGUCCUGAUAAUAGACAGAAGAGAAGGUGGAGACACGCAGAGAAAGAGAAGGCCAUGUGCAGAUGGAGGCAAGGAUGCGUAUGAUGCAGCUGCAAGCCAAGGA
Long non-coding RNA from Odocoileus virginianus texanus, 584 nucleotides. RefSeq lists it as uncharacterized. The record is from RefSeq and is a predicted model, not a curated record. Lineage: Eukaryota; Metazoa; Chordata; Mammalia; Artiodactyla; Cervidae.